UGAAAAAAAUGAUGGGAAGCCCAGCUGUACC
This 31-nucleotide non-coding RNA is filed under the name Mus musculus (house mouse). Lineage: Eukaryota; Metazoa; Chordata; Mammalia; Rodentia; Muridae. The record is from RNAcentral.